GCAAUACAAUAAUUUUAUUAUUAUUAUUAUUAUUUUCGAGAGAUAGAUAGCACGCUACCCGCUUCAUUUAUUUCAUUUAAAAAUAAACUUAGCUGGAAAUGUGAAUCAACUAAGAUUCGAACUUGGGCCUCGAAUACCAACCACCAAGCUCUUUGCCACUUACUUUAGAGACGGUCGGUAAUUUUAUUAAAAUUUUACAUCUCAUAUUUUAAUGUCAAUAUCAUUCUUAAUUAGAAAUCUAAUAU
This 245-nucleotide long non-coding RNA is filed under the name Ananas comosus (pineapple). RNAcentral describes it as "long non-coding RNA (ACOM_LNC014662)". Lineage: Eukaryota; Viridiplantae; Streptophyta; Magnoliopsida; Poales; Bromeliaceae. The record is from RNAcentral.